UGGUGGGUAGUUUGACUGGGGCGGUCUCCUCCCAAAGCGUAACGGAGGAGCACGAAGGUGGGCUAAUCACGGUUGGACAUCGUGAGGUUAGUGCAAUGGCAUAAGCCCGCUUGACUGCGAGAAUGACAAUUCGAGCAGGUGCGAAAGCAGGUCAUAGUGAUCCGGUGGUUCUGAAUGGAAGGGCCAUCGCUCAACGGAUAAAAGGUACUCCGGGGAUAACAGGCUGAUACCGCCCAAGAGUUCAUAUCGACGGCGGUGUUUGGCACCUCGAUGUCGGCUCAUCACAUCCUGGGGCUGAAGUCGGUCCCAAGGGUAUGGCUGUUCGCCAUUUAAAGUGGUACGCGAGCUGGGUUUAGAACGUCGUGAGACAGUUCGGUCCCUAUCUGCCGUGGGCGUUGGAGAAUUGAAAGGGGCUGCUCCUAGUACGAGAGGACCGGAGUGGACGAACCUCUGGUGUUCGGGUUGUGUCGCCAGACGCAUUGCCCGGUAGCUAAGUUCGGGAUCGAUAACCGCUGAAAGCAUCUAAGCGGGAAGCGAGCCUUGAGAUGAGUUCUCCCUGAUACUUUAAGUAUCCUAAAGGGUUGUCGUAGACUACGACGUUGAUAGGCAGGGUGUGUAAGCGUUGUGAGGCGUUGAGCUAACCUGUACUAAUUGCCCGUGAGGCUUAACCAU
RNAcentral lists this ribosomal RNA (672 nucleotides) under Vibrio alginolyticus. RNAcentral describes it as "partial 23S ribosomal RNA". It matches the Rfam family "Bacterial large subunit ribosomal RNA", at positions 2259 to 2925 of the family's 2925-position model. The record is from RNAcentral. Lineage: Bacteria; Pseudomonadati; Pseudomonadota; Gammaproteobacteria; Vibrionales; Vibrionaceae. RNAcentral also lists the same sequence under 6 other names.